RNAcentral lists this long non-coding RNA (515 nucleotides) under Linum usitatissimum (flax). RNAcentral's name for it is "long non-coding RNA (LUSI_LNC001832)". The record is from RNAcentral. Lineage: Eukaryota; Viridiplantae; Streptophyta; Magnoliopsida; Malpighiales; Linaceae.
UCAAAAUUAUAUUUUAUAUAGACCGAAGAAAUAGUCAUCUCUAUGCACCUUUAAUAACGACAAGUUUUGCAUAUGCAUACAAAUAAUUAGUAAAACAAUGCAUGUGAGACUUUUCCUUGGUCAAAGUUCUUGUUUAGACGUUUCAACUAGGCAAACCUAUUAAUUAAUGUCAAAAUUGGGCAGCAAAUAACCAGUUUUAAUAACAAAUUUCAAGUCCAGUAUUUGUCGUUUUGUUACUGUCACGCAUUUGUCGCCCAAUCAAUUCCCUUCCGUUGACCCGAUAGGUUCAUAAUCACUGUUCAAAAUCGGCCUAUAAUCCUAUUUUCUGCAAAUACUAAUCGAUCAACGAACUAAUUAAGAAGCGAAAGCUACUGGUUCAAUCUGGAAUCAAUCAGUCAAAAGAAUGAGUUAACUCGCCUGGUGACCUACGGGACAUUCAAUCUCCAGGGGAAUUGACUACUUUUCAAACUAUGAAAUUAAUAGAGGUGAAACAAUAUAUAAAAGCUUACCGUCUU